AGACAUUCAUUCUCAGCCAGGAUGGUAGAUGCUGAGAAAAAGGAGCAUUGUAUUAUGUCACCUGCCUCAUAUGAAGCUUCUUUAUAAUCUUUAAUAAGGAGGAUUUAUAAGCUACUAAGAGAGGUCCAAUUUGUUCAAGAACCUGUCCAUUUGCUCAUACAACCAAGAUAUACUUGCCAUAAGUGCCGAUUACUUUCCAGAAAGAUAAAGUUUGGGAUCAAGAAGCUCAAGUUUGAGACCCAGAACCAUCUAACUCUGCUAUUAACUCUGUACCAUUAGAAAGUGGAAAAAGGAAACACUAAAAAACAGGAAAAUAUGUGUAAUAUCUGCAGAAUGGAAGAUAUGUAACUCACUGAGCAGCUGAAGAAUUAAAUCAGAGAUGGAGUCUCAAUUUGUCACCCAGGCUGGAAUGCAGUGGCACAAUCUUGGCUCACCACAACCUCUGCCUCCCAGGUUCAAGCGAUUCUCCUGCCUCAGCCUCCUGCGUAGCUGGGAUUACAGGUGUUUUAGAGGCAGCUAAUAAUUCACUUGUUGUUACUACAAUAAAAACAUCUAUAACAACACCAAAC
RNAcentral lists this small RNA (569 nucleotides) under Pongo abelii (Sumatran orangutan). Its description in RNAcentral is "processed transcript". Lineage: Eukaryota; Metazoa; Chordata; Mammalia; Primates; Hominidae. The record is from RNAcentral.